RNAcentral lists this ribosomal RNA (253 nucleotides) under uncultured bacterium. RNAcentral describes it as "partial 16S ribosomal RNA". It matches the Rfam family "Bacterial small subunit ribosomal RNA", at positions 524 to 776 of the family's 1533-position model. The record is from RNAcentral.
UACGUAGGGGCCUAGCGUUGUCCGGAAUUAUUGGGCGUAAAGAGCUCGUAGGCGGUUUGUCGCGUCGACUGUGAAAACCUACAGCUUAACUGUGGGCUUGCAGUCGAUACGGGCAGACUUGAGUUCGGUAGGGGAGACUGGAAUUCCUGGUGUAGCGGUGAAAUGCGCAGAUAUCAGGAGGAACACCGGUGGCGAAGGCGGGUCUCUGGGCCGAAACUGACGCUGAGGAGCGAAAGCGUGGGGAGCGAACAGG